GAAAAAGUUGUCAGAGAUGCUGGAAGAUGGCACCUCUGAGUCGUGGGACUGAAGCUAAAGGAAACCUCGUGCUCUUGCUCACAAAGUGCUCCUGUUCCCCUGUGACCCACUGGGAAUGCUGCAGAUUUAUGGUGUGGGGUGGUUCCUCCCAGGAGAACAAAUCCAGCUUUGUAGCUGCAGCUGGAACUGGCAGGAAAUCUACACGAGAUUCGUUUUACCUGUAAGUUUCUCCCAGUAAAUAAAGAAGUGCAGGUUUUGAUGCAUUGGCCCGACAGUAUCAAGGAUUUUUAUCUACCUGCAGACUUCAACCACUGGCCAAGCCAGCUUGAGAGAGACUGAAAACCAGUACUCGACCCAGAAAACACACAUGAGCCCUGAUUUGCACCCUAAGCCUGGGCUGGCAUGAGAAAAGAGCACUCAGUUGUUUCAAAGAAAAGAACCUCUCCUCUUUACCUGCUGCAUUACUGUAACAGGAGUCCUCUGGGAAUGAACAGCUUCAAAACUUAAGGAAAGGAAAGCAGGGGGAUGUUAGAGCCAGGAGUGUCCAUCCCUCUUUAUUGACUCAUGCUCCCAAAUAAUUUAAUGGCACCUGCCCUGCUCUGCAGUUGGCUUCAGUAUUAUGGUCUGCAGCUCCAGCCUUAAUGUCCUCUGCAAAGCAGCCAGGCAUGAACACACCAGGAAAACACAUGCUGGUGCUUGC
Long non-coding RNA from Passer domesticus (house sparrow), 700 nucleotides. RefSeq lists it as uncharacterized. The transcript is spliced from 4 exons. Lineage: Eukaryota; Metazoa; Chordata; Aves; Passeriformes; Passeridae. The record is from RefSeq and is a predicted model, not a curated record.